This 253-nucleotide ribosomal RNA is filed under the name uncultured bacterium. Its description in RNAcentral is "partial 16S ribosomal RNA". It matches the Rfam family "Bacterial small subunit ribosomal RNA", at positions 524 to 776 of the family's 1533-position model. The record is from RNAcentral.
UACGGAGGAUCCAAGCGUUAUCCGGAUUUAUUGGGUUUAAAGGGUGCGUAGGCGGCUCAUUAAGUCAGGGGUGAAAGACGGUGGCUCAACCAUCGCAGUGCCUUUGAUACUGAUGAGCUUGAAUACACUUGAGGUAGGCGGAAUGUGACAAGUAGCGGUGAAAUGCAUAGAUAUGUCACAGAACACCAAUUGCGAAGGCAGCUUACUAAGGUGCAAUUGACGCUGAGGCACGAAAGCGUGGGGAUCAAACAGG